AACGAACGCUGGCGGCGUGGAUAAGACAUGCAAGUCGAACGGAUUCAGUCUUGUAGCAAUACAAGGCUGAGUCAGUGGCGCAAGGGGUGCGUAACACGUGGGCAACCUGCCCUGGAGACUGGGAUAGCCCGCCGAAAGCGGAUUAAUACCGGAUGCGGCUACCAAAGGAAUCUUUGGGACGCUAAAGGUGCGCAAGCUACCGCUCUUGGAUGGGCCCGNGGCCUANCAGCUAGUUGGUGAGGUUACGGCUCACCAAGGCGACGAUCAGUAGCUGGUCUGAGAGGAUGAUCAGGCCACACUGGGACUGAGACACGGCCCAGACUCCUACGGG
This 331-nucleotide ribosomal RNA is filed under the name uncultured bacterium. RNAcentral describes it as "bacterial SSU rRNA". It matches the Rfam family "Bacterial small subunit ribosomal RNA", at positions 29 to 345 of the family's 1533-position model. The record is from RNAcentral.